RNAcentral lists this ribosomal RNA (1377 nucleotides) under Streptococcus thermophilus. RNAcentral's name for it is "bacterial SSU rRNA". It matches the Rfam family "Bacterial small subunit ribosomal RNA", at positions 72 to 1436 of the family's 1533-position model. Lineage: Bacteria; Bacillati; Bacillota; Bacilli; Lactobacillales; Streptococcaceae. The record is from RNAcentral.
AGAGGAGCUUGCUCUUCUUGGAUGAGUUGCGAACGGGUGAGUAACGCGUAGGUAACCUGCCUUGUAGCGGGGGAUAACUAUUGGAAACGAUAGCUAAUACCGCAUAACAAUGGAUGACACAUGUCAUUUAUUUGAAAGGGGCAAUUGUUCCACUACAAGAUGGACCUGCGUUGUAUUAGCUAGUAGGUGAGGUAAUGGCUCACCUAGGCGACGAUACAUAGCCGACCUGAGAGGGUGAUCGGCCACACUGGGACUGAGACACGGCCCAGACUCCUACGGGAGGCAGCAGUAGGGAAUCUUCGGCAAUGGGGGCAACCCUGACCGAGCAACGCCGCGUGAGUGAAGAAGGUUUUCGGAUCGUAAAGCUCUGUUGUAAGUCAAGAACGGGUGUGAGAGUGGAAAGUUCACACUGUGACGGUAGCUUACCAGAAAGGGACGGCUAACUACGUGCCAGCAGCCGCGGUAAUACGUAGGUCCCGAGCGUUGUCCGGAUUUAUUGGGCGUAAAGCGAGCGCAGGCGGUUUGAUAAGUCUGAAGUUAAAGGCUGUGGCUCAACCAUAGUUCGCUUUGGAAACUGUCAAACUUGAGUGCAGAAGGGGAGAGUGGAAUUCCAUGUGUAGCGGUGAAAUGCGUAGAUAUAUGGAGGAACACCGGUGGCGAAAGCGGCUCUCUGGUCUGUAACUGACGCUGAGGCUCGAAAGCGUGGGGAGCGAACAGGAUUAGAUACCCUGGUAGUCCACGCCGUAAACGAUGAGUGCUAGGUGUUGGAUCCUUUCCGGGAUUCAGUGCCGCAGCUAACGCAUUAAGCACUCCGCCUGGGGAGUACGACCGCAAGGUUGAAACUCAAAGGAAUUGACGGGGGCCCGCACAAGCGGUGGAGCAUGUGGUUUAAUUCGAAGCAACGCGAAGAACCUUACCAGGUCUUGACAUCCCGAUGCUAUUUCUAGAGAUAGAAAGUUACUUCGGUACAUCGGUGACAGGUGGUGCAUGGUUGUCGUCAGCUCGUGUCGUGAGAUGUUGGGUUAAGUCCCGCAACGAGCGCAACCCCUAUUGUUAGUUGCCAUCAUUCAGUUGGGCACUCUAGCGAGACUGCCGGUAAUAAACCGGAGGAAGGUGGGGAUGACGUCAAAUCAUCAUGCCCCUUAUGACCUGGGCUACACACGUGCUACAAUGGUUGGUACAACGAGUUGCGAGUCGGUGACGGCGAGCUAAUCUCUUAAAGCCAAUCUCAGUUCGGAUUGUAGGCUGCAACUCGCCUACAUGAAGUCGGAAUCGCUAGUAAUCGCGGAUCAGCACGCCGCGGUGAAUACGUUCCCGGGCCUUGUACACACCGCCCGUCACACCACGAGAGUUUGUAACACCCGAAGUCGGUGAGGU